AUUGAACGCUGGCGGCAGGCUUAACACAUGCAAGUCGAGCGGGGUGAUGGUGCUUGCACUAUCACUUAGCGGCGGACGGGUGAGUAAUGCUUAGGAAUCUGCCUAUUAGUGGGGGACAACAUCUCGAAAGGGAUGCUAAUACCGCAUACGUCCUACGGGAGAAAGCAGGGGAUCACUUGUGACCUUGCGCUAAUAGAUGAGCCUAAGUCGGAUUAGCUAGUUGGUGGGGUAAAGGCCUACCAAGGCGACGAUCUGUAGCGGGUCUGAGAGGAUGAUCCGCCACACUGGGACUGAGACACGGCCCAGACUCCUACGGGAGGCAGCAGUGGGGAAUAUUGGACAAUGGGGGGAACCCUGAUCCAGCCAUGCCGCGUGUGUGAAGAAGGCCUUAUGGUUGUAAAGCACUUUAAGCGAGGAGGAGGCUCUUUUGGUUAAUACCCAGAAUGAGUGGACGUUACUCGCAGAAUGAGCACCGGCUAACUCUGUGCCAGCCGCCGCCGCAG
This 503-nucleotide ribosomal RNA is filed under the name uncultured bacterium. Its description in RNAcentral is "partial 16S ribosomal RNA". It matches the Rfam family "Bacterial small subunit ribosomal RNA", at positions 30 to 523 of the family's 1533-position model. The record is from RNAcentral.